This is an RNA transcript of Schistocerca serialis cubense, 2547 nucleotides long. It is a transcript of the gene named bifunctional polynucleotide phosphatase/kinase, with no coding region annotated. The transcript has 9 exons. NCBI's taxonomy places the organism in Eukaryota, Metazoa, Arthropoda, Insecta, Orthoptera, Acrididae. The record is from RefSeq and is a predicted model, not a curated record.
AACAGACGUGGCAUUAUUUAUUUACUUUCGACAAUAAUAUUAGGAUGCGCUGUACAGCUUUUACCCAAAAAAAAGAUGAUAAAAUAGUGAUACGCAGCAUCACUGUUAGAUAUGUAAUUUGUGGUUCCGUUCCUGUUGCCGAAAUAACCUGUACGUUUUAACUUUCUAAGUUUCGUCGCGUAAUAGUCUACUAAGAUGUUUCUAGAAGAAUAUUAAACUUAAAUAUUUUCAUUGUUGAGAUUCACCAAUGUGUAUUAAUAAUUCAGUUACCUACGAUAAUAUGAAUUUUCGGCUUUACCAUAAAUUGUCUCGCUUGAGGUGUAGACAGUAGGCAGAUACGGUAAUUGUAAGAAUGUUCAGAAAUUAAACAUAGAAUUGGGACCAAAUAUUUUAACAGAUUUCAUCCGAAAGAUUUCAAAACCUUUAUUUUUUGUUUUAAUUAAUUGUCUUUACGUUGUCCCACUUCAUGGUGAAAUUUUAGUGAAAAGAAAGAAAAAUAAUUGGUCCGAAUGAUUAGGCUGUUAUUAUUUACAGUUUUUUGUACCGCACAAUAAUUAUUGUUUAGUGCCUUCUGGAGAAAGUUAUUAGAAUACGUUGAAGCGUUGCGUAGUAUCUCUGAUAACAACUUACACACACAUGGUGGGCAAUACGAAUUAUAUACAAAACACUGAAAUAAGAGUGUUUAAGUAACAGCAAUGAGUACCGGGAACGAAUGCUUUUUGUAUUCUGAAGAUAAUCUCCACGAUCCUAUUUCCUUACGUCAAGGCGAAGAGGUUAUCUUAGGAAGAGGGCCUCUGACAAGAAUUACGGACACUAGAUGCUCCAGAAAUCAAGGUGCUGGAUGUCAGUUUGGGGAACAGAGUUCCAUGCCUGUUGCACUUGUAUGCCUCCUAGCAGACAGUUCAUCAAAAGAAGUGAAAGUAAAACAGUUGGGUAGUAAUAAUUCAGCUGUUAAUGGACUAGCGCUGAAGAAGAAUGAAACAUAUACAUUGAAAGAAGGGGAUGUACUGGAAUUCCUGCUUGGCCAGUAUGCACACACAGUCAGAUUUUGUGCUAAAAAUGGUGGCAGUGUUUCACUGCAUAAAGGAAUUAAAAGGGCUACAGAACAUCCCUGCCAGCCAGCAAAAAGAUUGUGUGAGGACUUUUAUACAAGCCAAAGAGUGAAUGAUUUGAAGGAUGCAAUAUCAACUGAAGUGACACCAUGUUCUGCGGACAAAUGGGAAUAUAUAGAUAAUAAUAAACUUAUAAUUCUUACAAGUAAAGGAUGUAAAGGCAGUUCAAAGAUAGCUGGUUAUGAUGUAGACGGAACUAUUAUCCUCACAAAAUCUGGUCGUGUCUUCCCAAAAGACAAUGAUGACUGGAAAAUAUCAUUCAUUGAGGUGCCUGGAAAACUGAAACAUUUGUGGAGUUCUGGCUUUAAAAUAGUAUUUUUCACAAAUCAGGCUGGAAUUUCUAAGGGGAAAGUGAAAAUUGAAGAUUUCAAAAGUAAAAUUAGAAACAUUAUUUCAAGGCUUGGUGUUCCAGUGCAAGUUUUUAUAUCAACUGGGAAAGGUAUCUACAGAAAGCCAGCACCUGGCAUGUGGAAUGUUUUAGUCGAAAAGAAAAAUGAUGGUGUAGCUAUAGACAAGACUGCAUCUUUUUACUGUGGAGAUGCAGCUGGCAGGGAUGCAAAUUGGGCACCAAAAAAGAAGAAAGACUUUUCCUGUUCUGAUCGCCUGUUUGCUCUAAAUAUAGGAUUAAAAUUUUACACUCCAGAAGAACAUUUUCUUGGUUAUAAAGCUGCUCAGUUCAAUCUUCCAGAAUUCAAUCCGUCUGCCUUGAUGCAAGAUAAGCCACUCUGCGAACCAGCAGGAACAAAACUGUGUACAGAUGAGCUAGAGGCUGUAAUUCUGGUUGGUGGCCCAGGCUCUGGAAAAAGUUUUUUUGCAAAAACACAUUUGGUACCAAAAGGAUAUGUGCAUGUAAAUAGAGACACUUUGGGAUCUUGGCAGAAAUGUGUCUCUUCAAUGGAAGAUGCCCUAAAGAAAGGCAAAAGUGUUGUCAUUGACAAUACAAAUCCAGACAAAGAAUCAAGGAAAAGGUAUAUAGAAGCAGCUAAAAAAUAUGGUGUUAAAUGUCGCUGCUUUAUUCUUGCAACAUCUGUGGAGAAUUCUAGACACAAUAAUAAGGGACUCUGUGGUUCUCUGUCAGCUCCGCAAUGGCCAUACGUGGCUGACGCAUGAUUACCUCCUCCAUUGUGAGGACCCGCUUCAGUGUCGCUGUGGCUCACGAAUGACGAUUGUCUAUCUCUUGCUGGACUGCCCACUUUACGCUGCUCUGUGGCGGACUUUUAACUUUCCCAGCACCCUACCUUCGGUGUUGGGCGACAAUGCCUCAACAGCAGCUUUAGUUUUACAUUUUAUUCGUGAGGUUUCGUGAACUGACUGAUGAUUCUCAUGAGCCCAUUAGUGAAGCAAUUAUAAAUAUGUUCAGGGCAAAAUAUGAGGAACCAACUACUGAGGAAGGAUUUUCUACUAUUGUGAAAGUGAAUUUUGUUCCUGUCUUUAC